Molecule: ribosomal RNA, 2904 nt
Filed under: Escherichia coli 3030-1
Lineage: Bacteria; Pseudomonadati; Pseudomonadota; Gammaproteobacteria; Enterobacterales; Enterobacteriaceae
Description: 23S ribosomal RNA
Source: RNAcentral
AAGGUUAAGCCUCACGGUUCAUUAGUACCGGUUAGCUCAACGCAUCGCUGCGCUUACACACCCGGCCUAUCAACGUCGUCGUCUUCAACGUUCCUUCAGGACUCUCAAGGAGUCAGGGAGAACUCAUCUCGGGGCAAGUUUCGUGCUUAGAUGCUUUCAGCACUUAUCUCUUCCGCAUUUAGCUACCGGGCAGUGCCAUUGGCAUGACAACCCGAACACCAGUGAUGCGUCCACUCCGGUCCUCUCGUACUAGGAGCAGCCCCCCUCAGUUCUCCAGCGCCCACGGCAGAUAGGGACCGAACUGUCUCACGACGUUCUAAACCCAGCUCGCGUACCACUUUAAAUGGCGAACAGCCAUACCCUUGGGACCUACUUCAGCCCCAGGAUGUGAUGAGCCGACAUCGAGGUGCCAAACACCGCCGUCGAUAUGAACUCUUGGGCGGUAUCAGCCUGUUAUCCCCGGAGUACCUUUUAUCCGUUGAGCGAUGGCCCUUCCAUUCAGAACCACCGGAUCACUAUGACCUGCUUUCGCACCUGCUCGCGCCGUCACGCUCGCAGUCAAGCUGGCUUAUGCCAUUGCACUAACCUCCUGAUGUCCGACCAGGAUUAGCCAACCUUCGUGCUCCUCCGUUACUCUUUAGGAGGAGACCGCCCCAGUCAAACUACCCACCAGACACUGUCCGCAACCCGGAUUACGGGUCAACGUUAGAACAUCAAACAUUAAAGGGUGGUAUUUCAAGGUCGGCUCCAUGCAGACUGGCGUCCACACUUCAAAGCCUCCCACCUAUCCUACACAUCAAGGCUCAAUGUUCAGUGUCAAGCUAUAGUAAAGGUUCACGGGGUCUUUCCGUCUUGCCGCGGGUACACUGCAUCUUCACAGCGAGUUCAAUUUCACUGAGUCUCGGGUGGAGACAGCCUGGCCAUCAUUACGCCAUUCGUGCAGGUCGGAACUUACCCGACAAGGAAUUUCGCUACCUUAGGACCGUUAUAGUUACGGCCGCCGUUUACCGGGGCUUCGAUCAAGAGCUUCGCUUGCGCUAACCCCAUCAAUUAACCUUCCGGCACCGGGCAGGCGUCACACCGUAUACGUCCACUUUCGUGUUUGCACAGUGCUGUGUUUUUAAUAAACAGUUGCAGCCAGCUGGUAUCUUCGACUGAUUUCAGCUCCAUCCGCGAGGGACUUCACCUACAUAUCAGCGUGCCUUCUCCCGAAGUUACGGCACCAUUUUGCCUAGUUCCUUCACCCGAGUUCUCUCAAGCGCCUUGGUAUUCUCUACCUGACCACCUGUGUCGGUUUGGGGUACGAUUUGAUGUUACCUGAUGCUUAGAGGCUUUUCCUGGAAGCAGGGCAUUUGUUGCUUCAGCACCGUAGUGCCUCGUCAUCACGCCUCAGCCUUGAUUUUCCGGAUUUGCCUGGAAAACCAGCCUACACGCUUAAACCGGGACAACCGUCGCCCGGCCAACAUAGCCUUCUCCGUCCCCCCUUCGCAGUAACACCAAGUACAGGAAUAUUAACCUGUUUCCCAUCGACUACGCCUUUCGGCCUCGCCUUAGGGGUCGACUCACCCUGCCCCGAUUAACGUUGGACAGGAACCCUUGGUCUUCCGGCGAGCGGGCUUUUCACCCGCUUUAUCGUUACUUAUGUCAGCAUUCGCACUUCUGAUACCUCCAGCAUACCUCACAGUACACCUUCACAGGCUUACAGAACGCUCCCCUACCCAACAACGCAUAAGCGUCGCUGCCGCAGCUUCGGUGCAUGGUUUAGCCCCGUUACAUCUUCCGCGCAGGCCGACUCGACCAGUGAGCUAUUACGCUUUCUUUAAAUGAUGGCUGCUUCUAAGCCAACAUCCUGGCUGUCUGGGCCUUCCCACAUCGUUUCCCACUUAACCAUGACUUUGGGACCUUAGCUGGCGGUCUGGGUUGUUUCCCUCUUCACGACGGACGUUAGCACCCGCCGUGUGUCUCCCGUGAUAACAUUCUCCGGUAUUCGCAGUUUGCAUCGGGUUGGUAAGUCGGGAUGACCCCCUUGCCGAAACAGUGCUCUACCCCCGGAGAUGAAUUCACGAGGCGCUACCUAAAUAGCUUUCGGGGAGAACCAGCUAUCUCCCGGUUUGAUUGGCCUUUCACCCCCAGCCACAAGUCAUCCGCUAAUUUUUCAACAUUAGUCGGUUCGGUCCUCCAGUUAGUGUUACCCAACCUUCAACCUGCCCAUGGCUAGAUCACCGGGUUUCGGGUCUAUACCCUGCAACUUAACGCCCAGUUAAGACUCGGUUUCCCUUCGGCUCCCCUAUUCGGUUAACCUUGCUACAGAAUAUAAGUCGCUGACCCAUUAUACAAAAGGUACGCAGUCACACAGAUUGCUCUGUGCUCCCACUGCUUGUACGUACACGGUUUCAGGUUCUUUUUCACUCCCCUCGCCGGGGUUCUUUUCGCCUUUCCCUCACGGUACUGGUUCACUAUCGGUCAGUCAGGAGUAUUUAGCCUUGGAGGAUGGUCCCCCCAUAUUCAGACAGGAUACCACGUGUCCCGCCCUACUCAUCGAGCUCACAGUAUGUGUAUUUUUGUGUACGGGGCUGUCACCCUGUAUCGCGCGCCUUUCCAGACGCUUCCACUAACACACACACUGAUUCAGGCUCUGGGCUGCUCCCCGUUCGCUCGCCGCUACUGGGGGAAUCUCGGUUGAUUUCUUUUCCUCGGGGUACUUAGAUGUUUCAGUUCCCCCGGUUCGCCUCAUUAACCUAUGGAUUCAGUUAAUGAUAGUGUGUCGAAACACACUGGGUUUCCCCAUUCGGAAAUCGCCGGUUAUAACGGUUCAUAUCACCUUACCGACGCUUAUCGCAGAUUAGCACGUCCUUCAUCGCCUCUGACUGCCAGGGCAUCCACCGUGUACGCUUAGUCGCUUAA